AGUGAACGCUGGCGGUAGGCCUAACACAUGCAAGUCGAACGGCAGCACAGGAGAGCUUGCUCUCUGGGUGGCGAGUGGCGGACGGGUGAGGAAUACAUCGGAAUCUACUUUUUCGUGGGGGAUAACGUAGGGAAACUUACGCUAAUACCGCGUACGACCUACGGGUGAAAGCAGGGGACCUUCGGGCCUUGCGCGAUUGAAUGAGCCGAUGUCGGAUUAGCUAGUUGGCGGGGUAAAGGCCCACCAAGGCGACGAUCCGUAGCUGGUCUGAGAGGAUGAUCAGCCACACUGGAACUGAGACACGGUCCAGACUCCUACGGGGGGCAGCAGUGGGGAAUAUUGGACAAUGGGCGCAAGCCUGAUCCAGCCAUACCGCGUGGGUGAAGAAGGCCUUCGGGUUGUAAAGCCCUUUUGUUGGGAAAGAAAUCCAGCUGGCUAAUACCCGGUUGGGAUGACGGUACCCAAAGAAUAAGCACCGGCUAACUUCGUGCCAGCCGCCGCGGUAA
This 506-nucleotide ribosomal RNA is filed under the name uncultured bacterium. RNAcentral describes it as "partial 16S ribosomal RNA". It matches the Rfam family "Bacterial small subunit ribosomal RNA", at positions 29 to 523 of the family's 1533-position model. The record is from RNAcentral.